GCUCAUUUUAGUGUGCAUAUUCUGAACUUGGAAGAGUACAGAGAUUAGCACAGCCCUGUGCAAGGAUGACAAUUUAUGAGCUGUUUCACAUCAUG
This is a small nuclear RNA of Empidonax traillii (willow flycatcher), 95 nucleotides long. The record is from RefSeq and is a predicted model, not a curated record. Lineage: Eukaryota; Metazoa; Chordata; Aves; Passeriformes; Tyrannidae.